GUAACGGUUCAAAUGUCUAUGAGACAUGCUGCCUAAUGUCUCCUCAUUUUAGACCUUUGAUCCUCCCAUUUUACUAAUAAAUAAAUAUAUAUUUGAUUAAACAAACUUAAAAAAUUAUUAUUUUUAUUAUAUGAGUUAAAUAGUUUAAGUUUCAAAUUCUGAAACGUCCCCAAAAAAAACUAUUUACUUACAUUCUGAAUUUAAAAGAAUAUACAUUUCAAAUUCUGAGUUGUCACCAAAAAAAAUUCUAUCAAUGAAAGCCCUAAUCGUCACCAAAAAUAUAUAUUAUAUUUUAUAUUUCAAAGAAUUUAAAUUUCAAAUUCUGAAUUUAUUACCAUCAAUUACAUCUAAAAUUAUUAGAUUACUUUUCACAAUAUAAAUUCAUAAUUUAAAAAACAAAUACUUUUAAAAUUACUGACUUAAAUUUAUUUAUUUAUCUUCUAUUUUGCUAAAAUUAUAUUUUUUUACUCUCCAAUUUUUAAAACUAAUAUUUUGGUUCGCUAUUGAACAACGCUGCAUUAUUUUUAGUUUUCAAAACUUUACUUUCAUUAGAGAGGUACUUCAUUUCAAAAUUAUUUUACCAAACAAAAUUUAUCUCAAAAUAAACAUCAUUUUACUUUUUCAAUAUCAAUUUCUUUCAGAAUGCCAUUAAAUAAUUAAAACUUCUUUCAAGUCAUUAUUCUCCUAUACAUUUAUGACAAUUUAUAAAAACCUUAAACUAUUCUUAUUUUAGGAUGGAAUGAGUAAGCAAUCAAUAGACAUUUAUGAACUAAUAAAAUAUAUCAUUGUUUUUAUAAUUAAUUUUAUUUUUUAUUUUAUUUGUAUUAAAAUAUUACAAAUAUAUUAAAACAAACUUUUAGAAUUUUUUUUCAAAAUAACCAUUAUUUUCAAAAAUAAUUCCAAAAUAACCAAUUAUUCAAAAAUAUUACCAAAAUAAUCAGGUUUGAUAGAGGAUGCGGCAGAUGAAUUGACGUACCCCCAAUGCAUGAAGAGGAGGCGCCAAUAGCAUUGACGCAUGCAUUAGACUCCUCGUGAGGAGGCGCCAAUGCUAGUGGCGCCUACAUUGGGCCUCAUGAGGAGGCGCCAAUGUUAGUGGCGCCUAUGUAUGUUUGAUUGGUGUAUGCGCCAAUUCAUCUGGCGCAUACACCCCCUGCUAUUUUUUUUUAAUUAUUAAUAUUUAAUUUUUAUUAUUUAAUAAAAAAGAAAUAGUAAUGAGAAAAAAAUUCAUUGAUGAUGUAAUAAUUUGUUACAUUGGACUGACAAUAAACUAAUGACCCGUCCGAUUAUAACGUCCACCUGUUCCACAUCCUGGUGCGUUAGUUUAUCUCCUAGGUCUUCCACGAUUUUCUUGAGGUGUUUGGGGUCUUUGUGUGCUGACCUGAUCGAGCGAUGGUUGGUUGGAAGGUCCAAGGGAAGUUCCAGCGGUAUUCGAUAGAUGUGUCAUCAUUUGCUCCCAAUAUCCGGAGGGGCUCUGGCCAACGGCGCUUCCGUAAUGGAGUUCGGUGCUCAUGUCAUCGUAGUUAGGGCGUUGUGGUUGAGUGAAUUAGGGACGAUAUAGUUGCCCAAAUUGGGUCAUUGAGUCGUUUUGGAAACAAAGCAAUGGUUUCUGGGGCGACUAUAGUUAAACAAUGGUUGGGUGUUAUUGAUGGGGGGCUACGAUGAAGUGACCCAUAAACGUGAUGGACCAUAAUAAUGCACCAAUCUUGUAGGUCAGCCAAAAGGACUUGUUGAUAUGAAUCAAUUUGUACUUAUGAACCAAAUGAUGCUUUUUAUAAUCUUGAAUUAAUGAGACGUGAGCCUUUGAGGCAACCUAUGCAUGGAGUAGAUGAUGUCAUUGACUACAAUGACAUGUACCAUGCUCAAUGAAUGAAUAACAAUAAUAUGCAUCUUAAUCCAGUGAUCCACUUAAUAAAGAAAAGCUUCUUUGUGAUUAUUCUAUUCAGUUGAUUAUAGUGGAUUAAAUCUGUGUGUAUAAGGUGAAAUCACUUUGGAGGGUGGACUAUAGUAGCUUUGAGUUUCAAGCGAACGAUAAUAAAAUACUUGUUUUUUUAUCUCUUUGUUAUUAACUUUUAAGUGGUGUUCUUGAGUUGGUAAAAAACUUUUGUUUUAUAAAACUCAAUUCAACCCCCUUUCUUAUGUUUUCCACACCUUCGGGGUUUGUUUUAAUUCUGACGGGGCUACCACUAGCAGAUUGCUUACUAAGUGUGGGGGUGUUUUUCGUGACAGUCAAGAAAGAUGACUUUGUGGCUUUCAUAAGACUAUUGGUGAUUGCAAUAGUCUUGCUACAGAAUUCUGGGGUGUCCUUAUGGGUUUGGAGCUUGCUUGGAAGAGAGAUUUCAAGAACCUUAUUGUUCAAGAUGGCAAAAAGACAGUAGCAGAUGCUCUCCAAGGGUCGCCUUUGAAGUCUAAACAAGGUUCGACUUUGGCUAGGCAUAUUCUUCUUCUCCUUCAGCAUUUUAAAGAAGUGCAUUCAUUCACAUUUUUAGAAAAACUAUUAAGUGUGCUGAUUUUUUAACCAAACUAGAUUUGUCCAGUUUUGAUGGUUGUAUCUGAUUCGAUGAUAAUUUUUUUAGUAACGGUUCAAAUGUCUAUGAGACAUGCUGCCUAAUGUCUCCUCAUUUUAGACCUUUGAUCCUCCCAUUUUACUAAUAAAUAAAUAUAUAUUUGAUUAAACAAACUUAAAAAAUUAUUAUUUUUAUUAUAUGAGUUAAAUAGUUUAAGUUUCAAAUUCUGAAACGUCCCAAAAAAAAACUAUUUACUUACAUUCUGAAUUUAAAAGAAUAUACAUUUCAAAUUCUGAGUUGUCACCAAAAAAAAUUCUAUCA
Molecule: long non-coding RNA, 2825 nt
Filed under: Lathyrus oleraceus (garden pea)
Lineage: Eukaryota; Viridiplantae; Streptophyta; Magnoliopsida; Fabales; Fabaceae
Description: Pisum sativum (pea) long non-coding RNA (PSAT_LNC040228)
Source: RNAcentral